This 254-nucleotide ribosomal RNA is filed under the name uncultured bacterium. RNAcentral describes it as "partial 16S ribosomal RNA". It matches the Rfam family "Bacterial small subunit ribosomal RNA", at positions 524 to 777 of the family's 1533-position model. The record is from RNAcentral.
GACAGAGGGUGCAAACGUUGUUCGGAAUUACUGGGCGUAAAGCGCGUGUAGGCGGCCAACUAAGUCGGGCGUGAAAUCCCACGGCUCAACCGUGGAAGUGCACCCGAAACUGGAUGGCUAGAGUCCUGGAGAGGAAGGUGGAAUGCUUGGUGUAGAGGUGAAAUUCGUAGAUAUCAAGCGGAACACCGGUGGCGAAGGCGGCCUUCUGGACAGUGACUGACGCUGAGACGCGAAAGCGUGGGGAGCAAACAGGG